Molecule: ribosomal RNA, 429 nt
Filed under: Acidobacteriota bacterium
Lineage: Bacteria; Pseudomonadati; Acidobacteriota
Description: Acidobacteria bacterium partial 16S ribosomal RNA
Rfam family: Bacterial small subunit ribosomal RNA
Source: RNAcentral
UGGGGAAUUUUGGACAAUGGGGGCAACCCUGAUCCAGCAAUGCCGCGUGUGUGAAGAAGGCCUUCGGGUUGUAAAGCACUUUUGUCCGGGAAGAAAUCGCACCUGAUAAUACCGGGUGUGGAUGACGGUACCGGAAGAAUAAGGACCGGCUAACUACGUGCCAGCAGCCGCGGUAAUACGUAGGGUCCAAGCGUUAAUCGGAAUUACUGGGCGUAAAGCGUGCGCAGGCGGUUGUGCAAGACCGAUGUGAAAUCCCCGGGCUUAACCUGGGAAUUGCAAUGGUGACUGCACGGCUAGAGUGUGUCAGAGGGGGGUAGAAUUCCACGUGUAGCAGUGAAAUGCGUAGAGAUGUGGAGGAAUACCGAUGGCGAAGGCAGCCCCCUGGGAUAACACUGACGCUCAUGCACGAAAGCGUGGGGAGCAAACAGG